CCGGUUGAUCCUGCCGGAGGUUACUGCUAUCGGUGUUCGCCUAAGCCAUGCGAGUCAUAUGUUCUUCGUGAACAUGGCGUACUGCUCAGUAACACGUGGAUAACCUGCCCUUGGGUCCGGCAUAACCCCGGGAAACUGGGGAUAAUACCGGAUAACGCACAUAUGCUGGAAUGCUUUAUGCGUAAAACGGAUUCGUCUGCCCAAGGAUGGGUCUGCGGCCUAUCAGGUAGUAGUGGGUGUAAUGUACCUACUGGCCGACAACGGGUACGGGUUGUGAGAGCAAGAGCCCGGAGAUGGAUUCUGAGACAUGAAUCCAGGCCCUACGGGGCGCAGCAGGCGCGAAAACUUUACAAUGCGGGAAACCGUGAUAAGGGGACACCGAGUGCCAGCAUCAUAUGCUGGCUGUCCGGGUGUGUAAAAUACACCUGUUAGCAGG
This 436-nucleotide ribosomal RNA is filed under the name uncultured archaeon. RNAcentral's name for it is "bacterial SSU rRNA". It matches the Rfam family "Archaeal small subunit ribosomal RNA", at positions 4 to 440 of the family's 1478-position model. The record is from RNAcentral.